AGAGUUUGAUCAUGGCUCAGGACAAACGCUGGCGGCGUGCCUAACACAUGCAAGUCGAACGGACCCUUCGGGGUUAGUGGCAGACGGGUGAGUAACACGUAGGUAAUGUACCUUCUUGCUGGGGAUACCUACCGAAAGGGUGGUUAAUACCGAAUGGUCUCAUGCUGCGGCAUCGCGGUAUGAGUAAAGUGUUCAGCGCGAGAGGAUCAGCCUGCGGGCCAUCAGCUGGUUGGUGGGGUAACGGCCUACCAAGGCAUCGACGGUUAGCCGGUCUGAGAGGAUGAUCGGCCACACUGGAACUGAGACACGGUCCAGACUCCUACGGGAGGCAGCAGUGAGGAAUAUUGCGCAAUGGGCGGAAGCCUGAACCGCAGCGACGCCGCGUGAGGGAUGAAGGUUUUCGGAUCGUAAACCCCUGUUAAGCAGGGAAGAGAACGGACGGUACCUGCUGAGGAAGCAUCGGCUUACUACGUGCCAGCCGCUGC
Molecule: ribosomal RNA, 485 nt
Filed under: uncultured bacterium
Lineage: Bacteria
Description: bacterial SSU rRNA
Rfam family: Bacterial small subunit ribosomal RNA
Source: RNAcentral